UACGUAGGGGGCGAGCGUUGUCCGGAAUUAUUGGGCGUAAAGAGCGUGUAGGCGGUUUGUCAAGUUUCGUGUGAAAACUUCGGGCUCAACCCGAAGUCUGCACGGAAAACUGCCGGGCUUGAGUAUGGGAGAGGUGAGUGGAAUUUCCGGUGUAGCGGUGAAAUGCGUAGAUAUCGGAAGGAACACCUGUGGCGAAAGCGGCUCACUGGACCAUAACUGACGCUGAGGCGCGAAAGCUAGGGGAGCAAACAGG
This 253-nucleotide ribosomal RNA is filed under the name uncultured bacterium. RNAcentral describes it as "partial 16S ribosomal RNA". It matches the Rfam family "Bacterial small subunit ribosomal RNA", at positions 524 to 776 of the family's 1533-position model. The record is from RNAcentral.